GAGCUUUUAAAAGUAAACGGUAAGUCGCUUUUACCAAUUACUUGCCAAAACUUAGCGCACAAUAUCGUGCAUGUUUCAACAUUAUACCAAAGCUAAUUUAUCCAAGUUUUGCAAGACUUUCCUGUUCUUCCGGUUCUUUAAAUUGUAAGCAAAAAUUGCAUGAAUAAGCCCAGUGAUAUAGAUUCUAGCAUGGGUGAAUAUCCGAGUUAUAUAUAUACUCUAACCCUAAUCCGUAGAUCGCAUACAAUGCACCCAUAUUUAAUUUACGGUUUGUUUAAGUUUUGCAUGUUUCAUGCUUUACUCCUAUAAGAUGGUAUAUCGGCACGGUUCGACAUAAGGCUGAUUCAUGCAAGUUUUUGGUCACAAAAGGCACUUGGCAGUGCCUUUUGUAAGCAAAAAUUACAUGAAUUAGCCCAAAGUCAGGAAGAUUUAAGAGUGGAUUUAUAAAACAGUUCCAAUCUUAAAACAAUAUACCCUAACCCUAAUCACUCGAUCGAAUGCGUUUUGUUGAAGCGAGGGGGAAAUGGCGGUUUGUUUACAUUCUGCAUAGCAACGGCAAGGGAAAUAACUGCUCAUGCGCAAUCGCGUGAUUUUGGGGACCGGCAUAUUAGAAACUUCCCAUAAUGUUAAGAUGUAGCCGUGGAACUAAUUUUAGAAUCAUAUACGGAAGGUUGAAUCUGAUUGGCCAAAUUUUUAUGUUUAUUCAUAAUCGAAAGGUCGCUCUGACGUGACCCCAAAUGAAGAUGUUUGAGAAGCGGUAGCGGAUUCGGAACAUCUAAUUUUAAUUAGAUUGCUAAUCUCACAACUGCUAAGCUUUGAUGUCUCAACUGCUCAAAUAUGAUGUCACAGCUUAUGACAUUGUGUUAAGAAAAGACAGAGGCAAAGGGAAAUCAAUGAAAAUUUAAUAAACAGAAAAUUCAUUGUUUUGUAGUUGGAUAUGGAAUUUGCACAUCUUUGUUCAUUUAAAACAUUUUGACUUCUUCUUACAUGUACUGGAAUGGAUGGAUCAGUUUUCCAUUAUACUUAACUUGAAAUGACUUUCGAAACUUUGAGUUCUGAAAUUCAAGGCAGCCUCAUCAUAAAAAAGAUAAGCUGUUUAAAGAGCUGGUGAAUUAUAUCAGUAUGAGGAUUUUCUUAAAAUUGAUAAACCAGCUAGCUGUGGAUGUAGAAAAGGAAACUUUCAUCAAGAGCUUAAAAGUUGCAGUUCAAGAGAGUUUGGGCAGUAUGUGACUCUUAUUUGAAGGACUUUGACCAAUUAUAUUGGAAAGAGUCAUAGAAGGCCAAACAAUGACUUCUAGCUCAUUGAAAAAAACAAAACAAAACAAAACAAACACAUUUGGACCUUUAUGAUGCAUUUAGGCCAAAAUAAUUAAUCUUUAGUUUCUCAGGGUUUUUUUCCCUUAAGUGUAAUCUCUUUUUUUUCUUGUCAGUCAAUAAAAUGGUAAUAUCAACUGAUUCUUAACUUUUGUAUACAUUUUCAUCUUAUAAAAAUAGAACAUUGAGUUAUUCUCCUUUUCAAAACAUGAAUAAGAUUGAUUGCAGAAGUGUUUGACUUGAUGCAGCAGUGCUUGAGAAACAAUAGAUCAUUUUUUUUGGCCUUAUUACUUUUUACUUUCAUGUCAGAGCAUUGUUUACUUCAACAAAUAAUAAUGUUAUGCAGAUGUGCAUCAAUAAGAUUUGAUAGCAAUUUUGUAAUAAUCAUCAAUAAAAUUGAUUAAAUUUA
This is a long non-coding RNA of Saccostrea echinata, 1723 nucleotides long. RefSeq lists it as uncharacterized. The record is from RefSeq and is a predicted model, not a curated record. The transcript has 2 exons. NCBI's taxonomy places the organism in Eukaryota, Metazoa, Mollusca, Bivalvia, Ostreida, Ostreidae.